This 416-nucleotide ribosomal RNA is filed under the name Streptomyces sp. MBT37. RNAcentral describes it as "bacterial SSU rRNA". It matches the Rfam family "Bacterial small subunit ribosomal RNA", at positions 96 to 527 of the family's 1533-position model. Lineage: Bacteria; Bacillati; Actinomycetota; Actinomycetes; Kitasatosporales; Streptomycetaceae. The record is from RNAcentral.
UGGCGACGGGUGAGUACACGUGGGCAAUCUGCCCUUCACUCUGGGACAAGCCCUGGAAACGGGGUCUAAUACCGGAUAACACUCUGUCCCGCAUGGGACGGGGUUGAAAGCUCCGGCGGUGAAGGAUGAGCCCGCGGCCUAUCAGCUUGUUGGUGGGGUAAUGGCCUACCAAGGCGACGACGGGUAGCCGGCCUGAGAGGGCGACCGGCCACACUGGGACUGAGACACGGCCCAGACUCCUACGGGAGGCAGCAGUGGGGAAUAUUGCACAAUGGGCGAAAGCCUGAUGCAGCGACGCCGCGUGAGGGAUGACGGCCUUCGGGUUGUAAACCUCUUUCAGCAGGGAAGAAGCGAAAGUGACGGUACCUGCAGAAGAAGCGCCGGCUAACUACGUGCCAGCAGCCGGGGGUAAUACG